Molecule: non-coding RNA, 1305 nt
Organism: Paramormyrops kingsleyae
Lineage: Eukaryota; Metazoa; Chordata; Actinopteri; Osteoglossiformes; Mormyridae
Source: RefSeq, a predicted model, not a curated record
UUUAAUCGUCUGUUAGGAAUCCCGACUUCUUAACGUUAACUGAAACUGUAUGGAAGGUCAUGAAGCCGAAUUCAGGUGGCAGCAUUUAAAUAGAUGUGAGCCGCAGUCAUUCUGUGUAUUAGCAUUAGCCUGGAUAGCCUGUUCUUCCGGGGUUAGUCACGUGGUACUGAGCCAGUUGCAUUUAAUAGUUCUGUGCGGGAGAAUGUCGGAAAAACCCAGUGUUAGUGUUUUUAUGCUUUGGGAGUGUCAUGCAGUGUACGCGUGUGUAAACAGCAGGCAAAUCCCUGGGCUCGGCGUUCCCGUGCGAGCAGCCAUGCGAGGACCACGAUAAGACCGAGACCGACGGCUGUGCCUCCCAGGAUGAUGGGCACUAUCCUUUUGAUAAAAUCUGGCCAACAUUCGUUCUCUGAAACGAGUAUGAGAUGACAGCAGAUGAAAAGAACGUCAGUCCUUGUAUUUGAUAACGAUGCGUGUCUCAUAAUUUUAGAAAUAAUAUUUAUAAUAAUUAAAAAAAACUGACAGACGAUAUAUAUAAGAACCUGCAAAUUAAUCAAAAGCAAUACAUACCUUUUCCGAAUUUUCCACUGCUUAUUUGAAAUCCCUGAAUUUUCAUAUUCAUUAUUUUUAUAUUUAGGUUGUUAGCCAUCGUAAGAGUGUCUUCGCUGUAACACUUAUGGCUGCGUCCGUUUUCGCUUAGGAACAGUUUCAUAUUGAUGAGAGCGCCUGCAAAUGUUUCACCUAAGAGCAGUAAUGACUUGAUUUACAAAGAAAAUCAUAUCAUGAACCAGAUCACGAAUGAAUGAAUUAAUGAAUAGCUUGAAUGAUAAGAAAUGAAUACUCACUCCUACAAUUUAUGCAGUUACGAGAUGCUGUCAAAUUGGCUCUUAAUAUAGACACGUAUGACAUUUUCCCUUUCUGAAGAUGAAAACAGUGAUAUUCUGUUAUCAGCGCAUCAUUCAUUGUUUAUUCCAUUGUCGAUAUGAUCUGCAAGUACUAUACAGAAUGAGACAGCUUUAUACCGAAAGCAAGCUUUGCCUCCGUGGGGGGUCCUUUGCUUUCGUGUUUUACCACCUUAGCUCAGCUUUCAGAGAAUCUACAUACGGAGACGAUUAAUAGUGAAAGUAAAACCUGAAGUAGCUGCUCAAUAUCACAUACCUUAACAAAGGUAAACUCAAUACUCCCACCAUCAAAAUUCAGAGACAAAAGAGCAGUAUUGUCUCCACAGAAUCCUGUGGCCAUCGUGGACUUUGGGUCAAGGUUGAAAUAUAAAUUUGUCUGCAAAAAAAAAAAAAAACUUAAAAAAAA